GUUUAAGCAACUAUGUUAGUAUGACUAAUUAUGAGAGGGAUUUCUUAUCUGGCAGAAAGGAUUGUGUCAUGUCUUACUACUUCAAAAAGAGUCCGUAACACUGCGAGACAUGACAAUAGACACCAUGCAGUUUGGUCAGUUAAUGGGGCAUCAUCAUCACCAGUUUAGCCCUUCUCAGGCAAUGUGGUGCCCACUUAAACAGCAUCUUAGUUAGGAAUAUACACUCAGCACUAAUAAUAACUCCAUCAACAAGUAAAUUAUGAUUGACAAUAAUGAAGAAAUGUCUGUAAACUCUAUGAAAGGGACAGACAUUUCUGAUAACCAGCUCAGAUCAUAAAAUCCUGCUACCACGAAGCAGAGUUGUUGA
Paramisgurnus dabryanus is the source of this 367-nucleotide long non-coding RNA. RefSeq lists it as uncharacterized. NCBI's taxonomy places the organism in Eukaryota, Metazoa, Chordata, Actinopteri, Cypriniformes, Cobitidae. The record is from RefSeq and is a predicted model, not a curated record.